GACGAACGCUGGCGGCGUGCUUAACACAUGCCAGUCGGACGGAAAGGCCCUGCUUUUGUGGGGUGCUCGAGCGGCGAACGGGUGAGUAACACGUGAGUAACCUGCCCUUGACUUUGGGAUAACUUCAGGAAACUGGGGCUAAUACCGGAUAGGAGCUCCUGCUGCAUGGUGGGGGUUGGAAAGUUUCGGCGGUUGGGGAUGGACUCGCGGCUUAUCAGCUUGUUGGUGGGGUAGUGGCUUACCAAGGCUUUGACGGGUAGCCGGCCUGAGAGGGUGACCGGCCACAUUGGGACUGAGAUACGGCCCAGACUCCUACGGGAGGCAGCAGUGGGGAAUAUUGCACAAUGGGCGGAAGCCUGAUGCAGCAACGCCGCGUGCGGGAUGACGGCCUUCGGGUUGUAAACCGCUUUCGCCUGUGACGAAGCGUGAGUGACGGUAAUGGGUAAAGAAGCACCGGCUAACUACGUG
This 468-nucleotide ribosomal RNA is filed under the name uncultured bacterium. RNAcentral describes it as "partial 16S ribosomal RNA". It matches the Rfam family "Bacterial small subunit ribosomal RNA", at positions 28 to 507 of the family's 1533-position model. The record is from RNAcentral.